GCCAGGAGGCCGACAAGAUGUUCUUUCUAAUUGAGUUAAAAAUAUUAUCCACGAAGAAGUUGAAAAAUAUGAAAAGCAGUAUCGAGGCAAGGAGCUUCUGGGAUUUGUCAACUACAAGACAUUUGAGUUCAUCGUGCAUCAGUACAUCCAGCAGCUGGUGGAGCCCGCCCUUAGCAUGCUCCAGAAAGCCGUGGAAAUUAUCCGGCAAGCUUUCAUUAACAUGGCCAAAAAACAUUUUGGCGAAUUUUUCAACCUUAACCAAACUGUUCAGAGCAAGAUUGAAGACAUAAAAGUGAAACACACAGAAAAGGCAGAAAACAUGAUCCAACUUCAGUUCAGAAUGGAGCAGAUGGUUUUUUGUCAAGAUCAGAUUUACAGUGUUAUUCUGAAGAAAGUCCGAGAAGAGAUUUUUAACCCUCUGGGGAAGCCUUCACAGAAUAUGAAGUUGAACUCUCAUUUUCCCAGUAAUGAGUCUUCAGUUUCCUCCUUUACUGAAAUAGGCAUCCACCUGAAUGCCUACUUCUCGGAAACCAGCAAACGUCUCGCCAACCAGAUCCCAUUU
RNAcentral lists this small RNA (562 nucleotides) under Pongo abelii (Sumatran orangutan). Its description in RNAcentral is "processed transcript". Lineage: Eukaryota; Metazoa; Chordata; Mammalia; Primates; Hominidae. The record is from RNAcentral.